UACGAAGGGUGCUAGCGUUGUUCGGAAUCACUGGGCGUAAAGCGUGCGUAGGCGGCUUUUUAAGUCUGAUGUGAAAGCCCGGGGCUCAACCCCGGAUGUGCAUUGGAAACUGGAAGGCUGGAGUUCGAAAGGGGUAAGUGGAAUUCCUAGUGUAGAGGUGAAAUUCGUAGAUAUUAGGAGGAACACCAGUGGCGAAGGCGACUUACUGGUUCGAUACUGACGCUGAGGCACGAAAGCGUGGGGAGCAAACAGG
RNAcentral lists this ribosomal RNA (253 nucleotides) under uncultured bacterium. RNAcentral's name for it is "partial 16S ribosomal RNA". It matches the Rfam family "Bacterial small subunit ribosomal RNA", at positions 524 to 776 of the family's 1533-position model. The record is from RNAcentral.